AAUCUUACCGGGUCCGGACACACUGAGGAUUGACAGGCAAUAUUAGCACUUAGCUUCGGCGACGUGUUAUGUUAAAUAUGCUAGUCCUUUCAUGAUUAUGUGAUAGGUGGUGCAUGGCCGUUCUUAGUUCGUGGAGUGAUCUGUCUGCUUAAUUGCGUUUCAC
Molecule: ribosomal RNA, 163 nt
Filed under: Bulimina sp.
Lineage: Eukaryota; Foraminifera; Rotaliida; Buliminidae
Description: partial small subunit ribosomal RNA
Rfam family: Eukaryotic small subunit ribosomal RNA
Source: RNAcentral